CAGAAGCCCUUGUCCUCACUUUACAGAUGAACACAAUGAGGCUCAGGGAAGGAAAAGACUUGGCAGGUAAAGGCAGAGUCUUAAUGAGCACCUGGGUCUGCAGCCCACUGAGCCCGCAGCACACACGUACACGUACACACACACACACACACACACACACACACGCAUGCUCACCUGCAGGCUCAUGGGCACGCACGUGCGUGGGCUUACACGCAUGCAUGCACACAUGCCUUCCAUUGCCCAGGCUGCCACUCAGAUAGCAAAGGGGCUUGGAGAGGCUGGAGGUCAAAUUGCCUCUGCUUGCAUGUGAAUCACCAGGCCUGCGUCUUCUCAGCAUGUGACGCAGAUGUGGGGCCCUGUGGCUGCAGGUGUGGGGCCCAUGCACACACGUGUGCUGACAUGCAGGGGUGUAGGGGCUCGUGUGCACAUGCACAUCCAUGCUCUGUGUCAUUUGCUAGUGUGUGUGCACACACGAUAUCCACGUGUCUCUGUGUGCGCACCUGGUGGGAGGCGGGGGAGCUGGUCACCCUGCUGCCUCUGGCGGGACCCAGCCCCACCCCAGCAACUGCGUUCCAGACUUGUCUCUGGAUAACAUUCAGUCCCAGGACUCCGAGGGCCCAUCAACGGCCAGGAUCCAGAUAUCGGAAGAUAUCUGACCGUGCUCUGCAGCCAGAGGGCAUCUCCAACUGAUGCCGGUCACGGUCACAGGGGCCCAGAGUGAGGAAGAGCUUUCUGAGUCACACACCCCAAGAGGGGCGCCAAGGUGACGUCUGGGGCUUUCUUCCAUACCUCAGCUAAAGCCUGGUCCCAGCAGGGCUCAUCUGCUAGGAGAGGCAAUGGCAGGGUCCUCCCCUGGCCUCCGUGGAGGCCGGUUCUCCUCCGCUGAGCCCCUUCAGGUGGUCUCUCUCACCCCCCUUAAAAAAACCACCUGGAUUAAAUCAUGGGGUCCGCCCUAAGGACCUUAUUUAAUCUAAUCACUUCCGCCAGGCCCCACUCUGAACAUGGGAGCUGGAUCAAGUUUUGACUCUCAAUACCAUUAUCAUAAGCCUUUGGGGACCAGGCUGGGGCUGGGGCUCAGUGGUACAGCGAUCGCCUAGCAUGCACAAGGCACUGGGUUCAAUCCUCAGCACCACAAAAAGACAAAAUAAAGGUAUUGUGUCCACCUACAACUAAAAAAUAAAUAUUAAAAAAAAAAGACGUUGGGAACCACACUCCUGCAUGAGUUUGGAGGGGACAAGUUCAUACCACCUCAGGGAGUCAGCACAGAGUUGCUGCUGCUCUGUGGCAGAAGACCCAGAUGUGGGCGCCGGAAAGCUGGCCUUCACUGUGCCCUCAAGCAGGUCACUCAGGUCACUGGGCUCCCAGGGCAGUUUACUUAGCUAUUGAAUGGCGCUCUGCCACCCACCUGGGGGGGUGCUUUCUGGGAAAGGUGUGGACUCACGCCCGGGAACAGUGGGGGCUAUCUGAAGAUGAAUGGGCUGCCCCGGGAGGUGGUAGGGUCCUGUGGCCGAGGUGAGCAGAGGAGAGGACCGUGGA
This 1536-nucleotide long non-coding RNA is filed under the name Marmota monax (woodchuck). Lineage: Eukaryota; Metazoa; Chordata; Mammalia; Rodentia; Sciuridae. The record is from RNAcentral.